GCUCCUGUAGCUCAGUGGUCAGAGCCCCCGCCUGUCGAGCGGGUAGCCGCCGGUUCGAGUCCGGCCAGAAGCG
This 73-nucleotide transfer RNA is filed under the name Streptomyces sp. SID4913. Its description in RNAcentral is "tRNA-Asp". It matches the Rfam family "tRNA". Rfam says of the family: Transfer RNA (tRNA) molecules are approximately 80 nucleotides in length. Their secondary structure includes four short double-helical elements and three loops (D, anti-codon, and T loops). Lineage: Bacteria; Bacillati; Actinomycetota; Actinomycetes; Kitasatosporales; Streptomycetaceae. The record is from RNAcentral.